CUGAUGAGUUGCGAACGGGUGAGUAACGCGUAGGUAACCUGCCUCAUAGCGGGGGAUAACUAUUGGAAACGAUAGCUAAUACCGCAUAAGAGUGAUUAACACAUGUUAGUUAUUUAAAAGGAGCAAUUGCUUCACUGUGAGAUGGACCUGCGUUGUAUUAGCUAGUUGGUGAGGUAAAGGCUCACCAAGGCGACGAUACAUAGCCGACCUGAGAGGGUGAUCGGCCACACUGGGACUGAGACACGGCCCAGACUCCUACGGGAGGCAGCAGUAGGGAAUCUUCGGCAAUGGACGGAAGUCUGACCGAGCAACGCCGCGUGAGUGAAGAAGGUUUUCGGAUCGUAAAGCUCUGUUGUUAGAGAAGAACGUUGGUAGGAGUGGAAAAUCUACCAAGUGACGGUAACUAACCAGAAAGGGACGGCUAACUACGUGCCAGCAGCCGCGGUAAUACGUAGGUCCCGAGCGUUGUCCGGAUUUAUUGGGCGUAAAGCGAGCGCAGGCGGUUCUUUAAGUCUGAAGUUAAAGGCAGUGGCUUAACCAUUGUACGCUUUGGAAACUGGAGGACUUGAGUGCAGAAGGGGAGAGUGGAAUUCCAUGUGUAGCGGUGAAAUGCGUAGAUAUAUGGAGGAACACCGGUGGCGAAAGCGGCUCUCUGGUCUGUAACUGACGCUGAGGCUCGAAAGCGUGGGGAGCAAACAGGAUUAGAUACCCUGGUAGUCCACGCCGUAAACGAUGAGUGCUAGGUGUUAGGCCCUUUCCGGGGCUUAGUGCCGCAGCUAACGCAUUAAGCACUCCGCCUGGGGAGUACGACCGCAAGUUG
This 820-nucleotide ribosomal RNA is filed under the name uncultured Streptococcaceae bacterium. RNAcentral's name for it is "bacterial SSU rRNA". It matches the Rfam family "Bacterial small subunit ribosomal RNA", at positions 88 to 896 of the family's 1533-position model. The record is from RNAcentral. Lineage: Bacteria; Bacillati; Bacillota; Bacilli; Lactobacillales; Streptococcaceae.